CGGGACGGGUGAUAAUGUCUGGGAAACUGCCUGAUGGAGGGGGAUAACUACUGGAAACGGUAGCUAAUACCGCAUAACGUCGCAAGACCAAAGAGGGGGACCUUCGGGCCUCUUGCCAUCGGAUGUGCCCAGAUGGGAUUAGCUAGUAGGUGGGGUAACGGCUCACCUAGGCGACGAUCCCUAGCUGGUCUGAGAGGAUGACCAGCCACACUGGAACUGAGACACGGUCCAG
RNAcentral lists this ribosomal RNA (232 nucleotides) under uncultured bacterium. Its description in RNAcentral is "partial 16S ribosomal RNA". It matches the Rfam family "Bacterial small subunit ribosomal RNA", at positions 100 to 334 of the family's 1533-position model. The record is from RNAcentral.